AUUGAACGCUGGCGGCAGGCUUAACACAUGCAAGUCGAGCGGGGUGAUGGUGCUUGCACUAUCACUUAGCGGCGGACGGGUGAGUAAUGCUUAGGAAUCUGCCUAUUAGUGGGGGACAACAUCUCGAAAGGGAUGCUAAUACCGCAUACGUCCUACGGGAGAAAGCAGGGGAUCACUUGUGACCUUGCGCUAAUAGAUGAGCCUAAGUCGGAUUAGUUAGUUGGUGGGGUAAAGGCCUACCUAGGCGACGAUCUGUAGCGGGUCUGAGAGGAUGAUCCGCCACACUGGGACUGAGACACGGCCCAGACUCCUACGGGAGGCAGCAGUGGGGAAUAUUGGACAAUGGGGGGAACCCUGAUCCAGCCAUGCCGCGUGUGUGAAGAAGGCCUUAUGGUUGUAAAGCACUUUAAGCGAGGAGGAGGCUCUUUUGGUUAAUACCCAAGAUGAGUGGACGUUACUCGCAGAAUAAGCACCGGCUAACUCUGUGCCAGCCGCCGCAGUAA
Molecule: ribosomal RNA, 503 nt
Filed under: uncultured bacterium
Lineage: Bacteria
Description: partial 16S ribosomal RNA
Rfam family: Bacterial small subunit ribosomal RNA
Source: RNAcentral